RNAcentral lists this ribosomal RNA (497 nucleotides) under uncultured bacterium. RNAcentral's name for it is "partial 16S ribosomal RNA". It matches the Rfam family "Bacterial small subunit ribosomal RNA", at positions 28 to 507 of the family's 1533-position model. The record is from RNAcentral.
GAUGAACGCUGGCGGCGUGCCUAAUACAUGCAAGUCGAGCGAACGGACGAGAAGCUUGCUUCUCUGAUGUUAGCGGCGGACGGGUGAGUAACACGUGGAUAACCUACCUAUAAGACUGGGAUAACUUCGGGAAACCGGAGCUAAUACCGGAUAAUAUUUUGAACCGCAUGGUUCAAAAGUAAAAGACGGUCUUGCUGUCACUUAUAGAUGGAUCCGCGCUGCAUUAGCUAGUUGGUAAGGUAACGGCUUACCAAGGCAACGAUGCAUAGCCGACCUGAGAGGGUGAUCGGCCACACUGGAACUGAGACACGGUCCAGACUCCUACGGGAGGCAGCAGUAGGGAAUCUUCCGCAAUGGGCGAAAGCCUGACGGAGUAACGCCGCGUGAGUGAUGAAGGUCUUCGGAUCGUAAAACUCUGUUAUUAGGGAAGAACAUAUGUGUAAGUAACUGUGCACAUCUUGACGGUACCUAAUCAGAAAGCCACGGCUAACUACGUG